GUGCUCACUUCGGCAGCACAUAUACUAAAUUUGGAAUGAUACAGAGAAGAUUAGCAUGGCCCCUGCACAGGGAGUAUCGAUAAAUGUGGCCCAACAACAAACAAAU
Molecule: small nuclear RNA, 106 nt
Organism: Suncus etruscus (white-toothed pygmy shrew)
Lineage: Eukaryota; Metazoa; Chordata; Mammalia; Eulipotyphla; Soricidae
Source: RefSeq, a predicted model, not a curated record